RNAcentral lists this ribosomal RNA (496 nucleotides) under uncultured bacterium. RNAcentral describes it as "partial 16S ribosomal RNA". It matches the Rfam family "Bacterial small subunit ribosomal RNA", at positions 29 to 507 of the family's 1533-position model. The record is from RNAcentral.
AUGCACGCUGGCGGCGUGCCUAAUCCCUGCCAGUCGAGCGAACAGAUGAGGAGCUUGCUCCUCUGACGUUAGCGGCGGACGGGUGAGUAACACGUGGAUAACCUACCUAUAAGACUGGGAUAACUUCGGGAAACCGGAGCUAAUACCGGAUAAUAUAUUGAACCGCAUGGUUCAAUAGUGAAAGACGGUUUUGCUGUCACUUAUAGAUGGAUCCGCGCCGCAUUAGCUAGUUGGUAAGGUAACGGCUUACCAAGGCAACGAUGCGUAGCCGACCUGAGAGGGUGAUCGGCCACACGGGAACUGAGACACGGUCCAGACUCCUACGGGAGGCAGCAGUAGGGAAUCUUCCGCAAUGGGCGAAAGCCUGACGGGGCAACGCCGCGUGAGUGAUGAAGGUCUUCGGAUCGUAAAACUCUGUUAUUAGGGAAGAACAAAUGUGUAAGUAACUAUGCACGUCUUGACGGUACCUAAUCAGAAAGCCACGGCUAACUACGUG